This 810-nucleotide long non-coding RNA is filed under the name Nicotiana benthamiana. RNAcentral describes it as "long non-coding RNA (NBEN_LNC020058)". Lineage: Eukaryota; Viridiplantae; Streptophyta; Magnoliopsida; Solanales; Solanaceae. The record is from RNAcentral.
GUUCUGCACAGAACCUCCCACUUUCACCUGUACAAAUGAUUCUCAGUAAGUGUAUCAAACAUCAAACUGAUAUGUUCAUUAUAAAAGUUGAACCCAGGGGGAGGACGAAUUACAAGCAUAUAGGCACUCAUAUAUCAACUAAAAGAAAGACAUAUCAGGGGUUCUGAUACACCCCUAUAAUGCCAUCCAGAUCAGAACUUGAUCAAGGACUUGAGACAUACAAAGGUUGAACCCGGGGGGAGGACAUAUUACGAGCAUAUAGGUACUCAUAUAUCAACUAAAAGACAUCAGGGGUUCUGAUACACCCCUAUAAUGCCGUCCAGAUCAGAACUUGAUCAAGGACUUGAGACAUACCUCAGCACCAUCGACAGCCUCAGUAAUGAGAGCUCCAUCCAGGGAAAGAUCCUCAAGGGCAAUAUCUCGCCCCUUGAUUGCCAUUGUAGAUCUUUCUGAAAUGGAGCAGUUUCCACUCACUUUGCUUUUUACUUCCGAGAAAGUAAGCGCCCAUUUUGGCUUCCACACAACUCGAGGCCCCUUGAUUGCUAUUGUAGAUCUUUCUGAAAUGGAGCAGUUUCCACUCACUUUGCUUUUUACUUCCGAGAAAGUAAGCGCCCAUUUUGGCUUCCACACAACUCGAGACCAUACUUCCACCUCCUGUCCGUUAAAGACUUGAAUAAUCGGAUCAUCUAUCUUGACACCAGCCUGUAAUAAAAAGAGAUGUCGUGUAACUGAUGCACACAACUAGAUCGACACAGGUUUACCAACUGAACUCAUCUGUGGCAGUGGCUAUUACGAAAGGGAAAAGUUCGG